UACAGAGGGUGCGAGCGUUAAUCGGAAUUACUGGGCGUAAAGCGCGCGUAGGCGGCUUGGCAAGUCGGGUGUGAAAUCCCCGGGCUCAACCUGGGAACUGCAUUCGAGACUGCUUUGCUAGAGUAUGGGAGAGGGAAGUGGAAUUUCCGGUGUAGCGGUGAAAUGCGUAGAUAUCGGAAGGAACAUCAGUGGCGAAAGCGACUUCCUGGACCAAUACUGACGCUCAUGUGCGAAAGCGUGGGGAGCAAACAGG
RNAcentral lists this ribosomal RNA (253 nucleotides) under uncultured bacterium. RNAcentral's name for it is "partial 16S ribosomal RNA". It matches the Rfam family "Bacterial small subunit ribosomal RNA", at positions 524 to 776 of the family's 1533-position model. The record is from RNAcentral.